This is a long non-coding RNA of Canis lupus familiaris (dog), 1245 nucleotides long. RefSeq lists it as uncharacterized. The transcript is spliced from 5 exons. NCBI's taxonomy places the organism in Eukaryota, Metazoa, Chordata, Mammalia, Carnivora, Canidae. The record is from RefSeq and is a predicted model, not a curated record.
UUCACUGUGGGCGUUUAGAGAUAAUGCUCCAAUCUUCAUGGUCUAGCCUUUCAGGGACUCAUAACUAACUGAUGGGGAGAAGUUUCAGACCUUCUAGAACCAUUGUGGAAUAGAUCAUAAAAGUUAAAAGUGACCUUAAAGAUAUUAUAUUAUUCUAUUUUUAUAAACUAUCAAUACUGAGACCCAAAGAGGGUCGGUAAUUUGUUUAAAUCUGGAAGUUUCUAAGGGUUAGAAGUGAAACUUGGGACCUGGAUCUAAGUUGAAUAAUCUUCCUUUGCCACCUGCUAAGGGAACAAAAGAGAGUGUUCAGCAGCCACACCGAGAUGGGAAUAGCAAUUAGAGGCAGUUAUCGUCCUGACACUCCGUGGCAGGCAAGGCCUCACCGUGCGGCAGAACUGGGUGGAAGAUGAUCUGAAUAUCACAGAGUACACUUGUCCAAAACAGUCCCUCCUGUCAGACAAAGAUUCACCAGGUCUUGUGGGAAAGCCUUGGAAUAUGAUUACUCAGCUUGGGAUUCAGCCUUCCCAAUCCUCAUUUAUCGCCCAGUGAUAGACAACAGAAAUAUUUUUCCUGGACAAACUUCACCACUUACAGACAAGGAUUUGCAUCAGGGCAAACUUUCAGAACUCCUAAUCAGAUAUCAGUGUAAUUCCCAAAGAAUGGGCUCUUCAGUCUUGAAUAAGACCACAUAUGGGGCCUCAACAUUAUAAUCCACGUUGGAAUUCAUACACUGGAAUGAGCCUUUCUAAUUAGCAUUGAGUUUCUCCAUAUCGAAUGGCAAUGGAGAAGGUAAAACAAAAUCUCUGGAAUUGGAUUUGACUUCUGACUCUGCAACUUAUAAAUUGACUCUGCGAUCCAGUCUUGGCCAAUGAAAAACUCUCCUCCCUAAGAACCACUCAUCUGCUUUCUGUCACCGCAGAAGCAUCUACAUUUCAGAGUUUUAUAGAAAUGGAACCAGAGACUAUGUACUCUUUUUAUCAGACUUAUUUUACUCACAGUAAUUAUUGAAAGAUUUGUCUGUGUUGUUGUGUGUAUCAGUAGUUUAUUCCUUUUUGUUACCGAGCAACAUUCCGUUGUAUAAAGAUACCGUGAUCUGUUUAUCCAUGUUUACCUUUCGAGUUUUGCCCAGUUCUAAGCUUCUAUGAAUAUUCAUGUACUUGUCUUUGUAUGAAUGUAUGCUUUCUUUCUUUUCUUUUUUUUAAGAUUUUAUUUAUUUAUUUGAAAGUGAGAGAGCAAGAGAGAGAA